GAUGAACGCUGGCGGCGUGCCUAAUACAUGCAAGUCGAGCGAACAGACGAGGAGCUUGCUCCUCUGACGUUAGCGGCGGACGGGUGAGUAACACGUGGAUAACCUACCUAUAAGACUGGGAUAACUUCGGGAAACCGGAGCUAAUACCGGAUAAUAUAUUGAACCGCAUGGUUCAAUAGUGAAAGACGGUUUUGCUGUCACUUAUAGAUGGAUCCGUGUCGCAUUAGCUAGUUGGUAAGGUAACGGCUUACCAAGGCGACGAUGCGUAGCCGACCUGAGAGGAGGAUCAGCCACACUGGAACGGAGACACGGUCCAGACUCCUACGGGAGGCAGCAGUGGGGAAUAUUGGACAAUGGGCGCAAGCCUGAUCAAGCCAUACCGCGUGGGUGAAGAAGGCCUUCGGGUUGUAAAGCCCUUUUGUUGGGAAAGAAAAGCAGCAGGUUAAUACCCCGCUGUUCUGACGGUACCCAAAGAAUAAGCACCGGCUAACUUCGUG
This 497-nucleotide ribosomal RNA is filed under the name uncultured bacterium. RNAcentral describes it as "partial 16S ribosomal RNA". It matches the Rfam family "Bacterial small subunit ribosomal RNA", at positions 28 to 507 of the family's 1533-position model. The record is from RNAcentral.